CAAACCCUGCUUUGUCCGUGGCGAACCUUGAAGUUCUGAGCCAACACCAACACAUAGGGAGCCUGGACUCUGGUUGUGGAAUGCAGGCCUUCGGAGAAAGAAGGAAACAAGAAGCAACCAGGAGGGCACCCACCUGUCGAGACAGGGUUCAAGAAACUUUAGGGCGCCAACGGCACAGUGGGGUUUAU
Molecule: non-coding RNA, 188 nt
Filed under: Peptococcaceae bacterium
Lineage: Bacteria; Bacillati; Bacillota; Clostridia; Eubacteriales; Peptococcaceae
Description: 6S RNA
Rfam family: 6S / SsrS RNA
About the family: E. coli 6S RNA was the first non coding RNA to be sequenced, but its function was unknown until recently.
Source: RNAcentral